RNAcentral lists this long non-coding RNA (522 nucleotides) under Panicum hallii. RNAcentral's name for it is "long non-coding RNA (PHAL_LNC000290)". The record is from RNAcentral. Lineage: Eukaryota; Viridiplantae; Streptophyta; Magnoliopsida; Poales; Poaceae.
CUCUAUCUAUUCUUUCUCACAACUUUAACACGAACGAGCAGCCUUUAAUUUCAGCAAAAACCCUACAUGUUUUGUACAAGAACAUAACAGGGACGAGCCCUGCUAAGAAGAACACAAGCUCUAAGAAGUACACGCAAUCGAAGUACUAUGCUGUGCCUUUGCAUCAAGUGGUAGUAGUGAAUCGGCCGCCGCCGCCCAUGCGGUUCAGUUAGUUGUAGCUCGGUUCUCUGCUGAAGCCGCCGCCGCGACCGGCUUUGUCCCUCAAGCCAGCAGCAGCACCACCAGGGCUCCUCGGCACCACGAGGUUGCUGAUGGUCCUGACGAUCUGCCGCUUCAGCUGCCCUCGCUUCAGCGGCGGCCUCUUCUCUUUCGAGCUCAAGUUGCCGCUGCUGUUGCUGUGCUGGUAGGCGUAGUACUCCAUGGCCAGCUGCAGAGCUAGCUCCCUCCUCUCUAUCUGUCCUUGCUUCCCGGCCGGCCUUCUCUGUCUUGUGCGUUUUUCUGUGUGUUCAGACUUCAGCAGCU